UGACUAGUUGGCCGGCUCUCCCAGGGUAAACGGUUUUCAGAACCAGAUUUGUGUAACUGGGUGUUUUGGCGGUCGACUUCUGCACUCUAGCAGGGAAACAGUUUUUAUCUCCUGAAGUUCGAUGGCGAUACCCCUUCACAGUCCAAGCAUCCUUCCAGCCACAGGCAAAACGAACUCGAUAUUAUUCGAUAUCUGAGUCUCCUGCGGGGACAACCAAGCGCUUCCUUACGGACUCGGGAAAAUUUCUCUUCUACGGAGUACGCAUGAUAGAAAGAUUAUCUAGCCAAUUUCGUGGCCAAUGAUUUCUUGGGAGAAUAUACGUGUAUAUCGUUAUGGUAUCCGCCCGAAAGCAACCAAUAGUACUAUGCAUAAAUGUACUAAGAAGGGGAAAUUUGACCCUAGUAGGUUACUUCUCCCCUAGGUUAUUGUGCCCUGCGAACUGGCUUGGAUUGUGAACGUAUUGAAGACGAUCGAAGUGUUCUGGAAAUGAACCUGGCAGGUAUCCAGGAAGGAGGAAUCACAAUCACACAUUGCCAAGAGUAACUAAUAUCUUUAGACAACAUAGCCUCUCCAUAUGGAAUAUGUUGUGUGUAGGGAUCUCUACAUAGUACUGUCCAUCUACAAGUCCUUGCACACACUAGAAAUAUAAAUGGAAAUCUCAAUACUGGAUCUCGAAAAAGUCCAGCCCUCACCUCCAAUACAGUGGGAGUAUAUUGCAUAUGACACAGCC
Molecule: small RNA, 730 nt
Filed under: Histoplasma ohiense
Lineage: Eukaryota; Fungi; Ascomycota; Eurotiomycetes; Onygenales; Ajellomycetaceae
Description: hypothetical lncRNA
Source: RNAcentral